This 472-nucleotide ribosomal RNA is filed under the name uncultured marine bacterium. RNAcentral's name for it is "bacterial SSU rRNA". It matches the Rfam family "Bacterial small subunit ribosomal RNA", at positions 359 to 825 of the family's 1533-position model. The record is from RNAcentral.
GAAAUUGGAAAUGGGCGAAAGCCUGAUCCAGCAAUGCCGCGUGUGUGAAGAAGGCCUUCGGGUUGUAAAGCACUUUAAGUUGGGAGGAAAAGCUUGGGGUUAAUAGCCUUAAGUGUUGACGUUACCAACAGAAUAAGCACCGGCUAACUCCGUGCCAGCAGCCGCGGUAAUACGGAGGGUGCAAGCGUUAAUCGGAAUUACUGGGCGUAAAGCGCGCGUAGGCGGUUUGUUAAGUCAGAUGUGAAAUCCCCGGGCUCAACCUGGGAAUGGCAUUUGAGACUGGCAGGCUAGAGUAUGGUAGAGGUGAGUGGAAUUUCAGGUGUAGCGGUGAAAUGCGUAUAGAUCUGAAGGAACAUCAGUGGCGAAGGCGACUCACUGGGCCAUUACUGACGCUGAGGUGCGAAAGCGUGGGUAGCAAACAGGAUUAGAUACCCUGGUAGUCCACGCCCUAAACGAAGNUAACUUAGGGGGA